UACGUAGGUGGCAAGCGUUGUCCGGAUUUACUGGGCGUAAAGGAUGCGUAGGCGGACAUUUAAGUCAGAUGUGAAAUACCCGAGCUUAACUUGGGUGCUGCAUUUGAAACUGGGUGUCUAGAGUGCAGGAGAGGUAAGUGGAAUUCCUAGUGUAGCGGUGAAAUGCGUAGAGAUUAGGAAGAACACCAGUGGCGAAGGCGACUUACUGGACUGUAACUGACGCUGAGGCAUGAAAGCGUGGGGGAGCAAACAGGAUUAGAACCUACCGUAGUCAG
Molecule: ribosomal RNA, 275 nt
Filed under: uncultured bacterium
Lineage: Bacteria
Description: partial 16S ribosomal RNA
Rfam family: Bacterial small subunit ribosomal RNA
Source: RNAcentral